Long non-coding RNA from Sapajus apella (tufted capuchin), 106 nucleotides. RefSeq lists it as uncharacterized. The transcript is spliced from 3 exons. The record is from RefSeq and is a predicted model, not a curated record. NCBI's taxonomy places the organism in Eukaryota, Metazoa, Chordata, Mammalia, Primates, Cebidae.
UCAGAUCUUAACAUGGCAUUUUAAUUUUAAAAAUUUUUGUUAGGUUGGCCCUUCCAGAAGAGAAGCAAAUCAGAUCAAGGAGAGAGAUCAAAUCAGAUCAAGGAGG